Molecule: ribosomal RNA, 870 nt
Filed under: uncultured archaeon
Lineage: Archaea
Description: bacterial SSU rRNA
Rfam family: Archaeal small subunit ribosomal RNA
Source: RNAcentral
CUGGUUGAUCCUGCCAGACCCGACUGCUAUCGGAUUGGGACUAAGCCAUGCGAGUCAACUCCGCAAGGGGUGGCGCACGGCUCAGUAACACGUAGUCAACCUACCCUGGGGACGGGGAUAACCUCGGGAAACUGAGGCUAAACCCCGAUGGGCCAUGGCUCCUGGAAUGGGCUAUGGCUGAAAUCUACAUGGCCCCAGGAUGGGACUGCGGCCGAUCAGGUUGUUGGUGGGGUAAUGGCCCACCAAGCCUAUAACCGGUGCGGGCUCUGAGAGGAGGAGCCCGGAGAUGGGCACUGAGACAAGGGCCCAGGUCCUAUGGGGCGCAGCAGGCGCGAAACCUCCGCAAUGGGCGAAAGCCCGACGGGGUCAGUCCGAGUGGUUCCCGCUGAGGGAACCUUUUGCCAGCUGUAAACAGGCUGGCGAAUAAGGGGUGGGCAAGUUUGGUGUCAGCCGCCGCGGUAAUACCAGCACCCCGAGUGGUCGGGACGAUUAUUGGGCCUAAAGCAUCCGUAGCCGGCCCAGUAAGUCCUCCGUUAAAUCCAACGGCUCAACCGUUGGGCUGCGGGGGAUACUGCUGGGCUAGGGGACGGGAGAGGCGAGGGGUAUUCCCGGGGUAGGGGUAAAAUCCACUGAUCCCGGGAGGAUCACCAGUGGCGAAGGCGCCUCGCUAGAACGUGCCCGACGGUGAGGGAUGAAAGCUGGGGGAGCGAACCGGAUUAGAUACCCGGGUAGUCCCAGCCGUAAACGAUGUAGGCUCGGUGUUGGGCUGCCUCAGUGGCAGCCCAGUGCCGCAGGGAAGCCGUUAAGCCUACCGCCUGGGGAGUACGGCCGCAAGGCUGAAACUUAAGGGAAUUGGCGGGGGAGCACCAC